Tympanuchus pallidicinctus (lesser prairie-chicken) is the source of this 1046-nucleotide long non-coding RNA. RefSeq lists it as uncharacterized. Lineage: Eukaryota; Metazoa; Chordata; Aves; Galliformes; Phasianidae. The transcript has 3 exons. The record is from RefSeq and is a predicted model, not a curated record.
AUACAGGGUGUGGAUGCUUCCCCCGAAUGCAGAUUAUCUCCUGGUUGUCAUUAUCUGCUGUUGUUUUCAGUACAUCCUUGCGCUUCAAUUGUGCUCUCUCAGUAGACACCACAAGAACGAAAGUAAAUUCAGAAUUCUCAUUGCUGUUCAGUGUUGUUUCUGAGAGUCAUGAGGGGAAGAUGUUUUUUCCUUUUCGGAUUGAAGCUGAAAUCUUCACAUUAUCACUGGUCUUCGUCCACUGAGGCUGAUAGUGAAAUAGCAAGUAUUGGAAGAUUCCUGGUAAAGUUUUGCAAGUUGGCAAAAAGGCAUCAGAAGUAUCAGGAGAAUGCACCGGGAAGAUCCCAAGGAGAAUACUGGAAGAAAGGUUUCCGUGAUGCAUAUUGUUUCUUCCUACACAAAGAUUUCUGAGAUUGUAUAAUCUUGGACCUCUCUUAAUAGGACAGUGGGCUUUGGUAUCUAGCCUUAUCUGGGAGUCCACCUCAUUUCUCAGGAGGUAAACAACAUUAGCCACUCCUAAUGAAGGUGACUGAAACUUCUUAUUUGGGGCCAACAUAGUUAGGGCCUGUGCUGUUACUACAGUUGUUUUGCCUCAAUAUUUGCUACACUUCUCAUACAUUUUGGUACAAAAUUUAUCGCUUCUUAUCCAAUUACCAGGGUAGAAGUAAAAUGGAAUCCUGUUGUGAAAGUGAUUCAAGCAAUUAACAUUCAAAAAAACAAACAAACAAAAAAAAAACCUACUGCUUUCAUCAUUCACCUUGUGUACUCAAGACACCAGUGGUGUUCACAGUUCUUGUUGCCAUUGGUGCUCCCAGCUGUGUGACAAUGUGUCAAAUCCUCAAGCUAGAGCCUUGUUCUUUCUUUUUCCCCCUCUCUGAAACACUCAUUAUUGUUGGUUUUGGAAUGGUGGUAGUAGAAAGGCCAACAGGCAUUGUCAGUGACUCAGUACGGUGUCUGAGGGGUGUCUGUAUUCCAAGUACCCGCUGAGGGCUGACCCAGCCCUUCAGGUGCUUCUGGGGACAGCCCUGCUGUUGGGUGUUUGCUGUAGG